ACGCACGCUGGCGGCGUGCUUAACACAUGCAAGUCGAACGGAAAGGCCCUGCUUUUGUGGGGUGCUCGAGUGGCGGACGGGUGAGUAACACGUGAGUAACCUGCCCUUGACUUUGGGAUAACUUCAGGAAACUGGGGCUAAUACCGGAUAGGAGCUCCUGCUGCAUGGUGGGGGUUGGAAAGUUUCGGCGGUUGGGGAUGGACUCGCGGCUUAUCAGCUUGUUGGUGGGGUAGUGGCUUACCAAGGCUUUGACGGGUAGCCGGCCUGAGAGGGUGACCGGCCACAUUGGGACUGAGAUACGGCCCAGACUCCUACGGGAGGCAGCAGUGGGGAAUAUUGCACAAUGGGCGGAAGCCUGAUGCAGCAACGCCGCGUGCGGGAUGACGGCCUUCGGGUUGUAAACCGCUUUCGCCUGUGACGAAGCGUGAGUGACGGUAAUGGGUAAAGAAGCACCGGCUAACUACGUG
This 467-nucleotide ribosomal RNA is filed under the name uncultured bacterium. Its description in RNAcentral is "partial 16S ribosomal RNA". It matches the Rfam family "Bacterial small subunit ribosomal RNA", at positions 29 to 507 of the family's 1533-position model. The record is from RNAcentral.